UACGUAGGGUGCGAGCGUUGUCCGGAAUUAUUGGGCGUAAAGGGCUCGUAGGCGGUCUGUCGCGUCGGGAGUGAAAACUCGGGGCUAAACUCCGAGCCUGCUUCUGAUACGGGCAGACUAGAGGUAUGCAGGGGAGAAUGGAAUUCCUGGUGUAGCGGUGAAAUGCGCAGAUAUCAGGAGGAACACCGGUGGCGAAGGCGGUUCUCUGGGCAUGACCUGACGCUGAGGAGCGAAAGUGUGGGGAGCGAACAGG
This 253-nucleotide ribosomal RNA is filed under the name uncultured bacterium. RNAcentral's name for it is "partial 16S ribosomal RNA". It matches the Rfam family "Bacterial small subunit ribosomal RNA", at positions 524 to 776 of the family's 1533-position model. The record is from RNAcentral.